ACGUAGGGGGCGAGCGUUGUCCGGAAUUACUGGGCGUAAAGAGCACGUAGGCGGGAACUUAAGUCAGGUGUGAAAGACCGGGGCUCAACCUCGGGUAUGCACUUGAAACUGGGUUUCUUGAGUGCAGGUGAGGAAGGCAGAAUUCCUGGUGUAGCGGUGGAAUGCGUAGAGAUCAGGAGGAAUACCAAAGGCGUAGGCAGUUUUCUGGACUGACCUUGACGCUGAUGUGCGAAAGUGUGUGUAUCAAACAG
Molecule: ribosomal RNA, 251 nt
Filed under: uncultured prokaryote
Description: partial 16S rRNA
Rfam family: Bacterial small subunit ribosomal RNA
Source: RNAcentral